Molecule: ribosomal RNA, 301 nt
Filed under: uncultured bacterium
Lineage: Bacteria
Description: partial 16S ribosomal RNA
Rfam family: Bacterial small subunit ribosomal RNA
Source: RNAcentral
CAGCAGCCGCGGUAAUACGUAGGUGGCAAGCGUUGUCCGGAAUUAUAGGGCGUAAAGGGCUCGCAGGCGGUUUCUUAAGUCUGAUGUGAAAGCCCCCGGCUCAACCGGGGAGGGUCAUUGGAAACUGGGAAACUUGAGUGCAGAAGAGGAGAGUGGAAUUCCACGUGUAGCGGUGAAAUGCGUAGAGAUGUGGAGGAACACCAGUGGCGAAGGCGACUCUCUGGUCUGUAACUGACGCUGAGGAGCGAAAGCGUGGGGAGCGAACAGGAUUAGAGACCCCGGUAGUCCCUGUCUCUUAUAC